UACAGAGGGUGCGAGCGUUGUCCGGAAUCACUGGGCGUAAGGGGCGCGUAGGUGGCCCGACAAGUCUGUGGUGAAAGCUCGACGCUCAACGUCGAGUCGGCCAUAGAUACUGUUGGGCUGGAGCACUGUAGAGGCUCAUGGAAUUCCGGGUGUAGCGGUGGAAUGCGUAGAGAUCCGGAAAGAACACCGGUGGCGAAGGCGGUGAGCUGGGCAGUAGCUGACACUGAGGCGCGACAGCGUGGGGAGCAAACAGG
RNAcentral lists this ribosomal RNA (254 nucleotides) under uncultured bacterium. RNAcentral's name for it is "partial 16S ribosomal RNA". It matches the Rfam family "Bacterial small subunit ribosomal RNA", at positions 524 to 776 of the family's 1533-position model. The record is from RNAcentral.